GGGAUUGCCCUAGUAACGGCGAGUGAAGCGGCAACAGCUCAAAUUUGAAAUCUGGCGUAAGCCCGAGUUGUAAUUUGUAGAGGAUGCUUCUGGGUAGCGACCGGUCUAAGUUCCUUGGAACAGGACGUCAUAGAGGGUGAGAAUCCCGUAUGUGACCGGCCCGCACCCUUUACGUAGCUCCUUCGACGAGUCGAGUUGUUUGGGAAUGCAGCUCUAAAUGGGAGGUAAAUUUCUUCUAAAGCUAAAUACCGGCCAGAGACCGAUAGCGCACAAGUAGAGUGAUCGAAAGAUGAAAAGUACUUUGGAAAGAGAGUUAAAAAGCACGUGAAAUUGUUGAAAGGGAAGCGCCUGCAAUCAGACUUCGCGGCAGUGUUCCGCCGGCCUUCUGGCCGGUUCAUUCUCUGUCGCGAGGCCAUCAUCGUCUCGGCCCGCUGGAUAAGACCUUGGGAAUGUAGCUCACCUUCGGGGGAGUGUUAUAGCUCAUGGUGAUGCAGCGAGGCUGGGGCGAGGUCCGCGCUUCGGCAAGGAUGAUGGCGUAAUGGUUGUCGGCGGCCCGUCUUGAAACACGGACCAAGGAGUCUAACAUCUAUGCGAGUGUUCGGGUGUCAAACCCCUACGCGUAAUGAAAGUGAACGGAGGUGGGAACCGCAAGGUGCACCAUCGACCGAUCCUGAUGUCCUCGGAUGGAUUUGAGUAAGAGCAUAGCUGUUGGGACCCGAAAGAUGGUGAACUAUGCCUGAAUAGGGUGAAGCCAGAGGAAACUCUGGUGGAGGCUCGCAGCGGUUCUGACGUGCAAAUCGAUCGUCAAAUUUGGGUAUAGGGGCG
RNAcentral lists this ribosomal RNA (825 nucleotides) under Sphaerulina hyperici. RNAcentral's name for it is "eukaryotic LSU rRNA". It matches the Rfam family "Eukaryotic large subunit ribosomal RNA", at positions 71 to 925 of the family's 3401-position model. The record is from RNAcentral. Lineage: Eukaryota; Fungi; Ascomycota; Dothideomycetes; Mycosphaerellales; Mycosphaerellaceae.